Molecule: ribosomal RNA, 252 nt
Filed under: uncultured bacterium
Lineage: Bacteria
Description: partial 16S ribosomal RNA
Rfam family: Bacterial small subunit ribosomal RNA
Source: RNAcentral
UACGUAGGGGGCAAGCGUUGUCCGGCUUUAUUGGGCGUAAAGGGUUCGCAGGUGGCCUUUUAAGUCAGAUGUGAAAGAUCAAGGCUUAACCUUGGUAAGCAUUUGAAACUGAAAGGCUUGAGUUAAGGAGAGGAAAGUGGAAUUCCUAGUGUAGCGGUGAAAUGCGUAGAUAUUAGGAGGAAUACCAGUGGCGAAGGCGACUUUCUGGACUUAUACUGACACUGAGGAACGAAAGCAUGGGGAGCAAACAGG